GCCAUCGUGGUGUAAUGGUAGCACACUCCACGCGUAUUCGAGAGGUUCAGGUUCGAGUCCUGGCGAGAGCA
RNAcentral lists this transfer RNA (71 nucleotides) under Stegodyphus mimosarum. It matches the Rfam family "tRNA". From Rfam's summary of the family: Transfer RNA (tRNA) molecules are approximately 80 nucleotides in length. Their secondary structure includes four short double-helical elements and three loops (D, anti-codon, and T loops). Lineage: Eukaryota; Metazoa; Arthropoda; Arachnida; Araneae; Eresidae. The record is from Rfam by way of RNAcentral.